RNAcentral lists this transfer RNA (72 nucleotides) under Brachygobius doriae. RNAcentral describes it as "tRNA-Asp". It matches the Rfam family "tRNA". Rfam says of the family: Transfer RNA (tRNA) molecules are approximately 80 nucleotides in length. Their secondary structure includes four short double-helical elements and three loops (D, anti-codon, and T loops). The record is from RNAcentral. Lineage: Eukaryota; Metazoa; Chordata; Actinopteri; Gobiiformes; Gobiidae.
GAAAUUUUAGUAAAAUAUAUAUUACACUGCUUUGUCAAAGCAAAAUUGCAAGUUAAAUUCUUGCAAAUCUCA